This 2855-nucleotide long non-coding RNA is filed under the name Mus musculus (house mouse). RNAcentral's name for it is "long non-coding RNA chr6:71276493-71279348". The record is from RNAcentral. Lineage: Eukaryota; Metazoa; Chordata; Mammalia; Rodentia; Muridae.
CCAUUAGACUUCACCUAAUGCUUGUACUUUGAUAGUUUCCAGCAUCCCAACACCGGCUUUGGGGGAUAUAUUAUCAAACUGUAGCAUUCUUGCUCAUAAACAGAUAAGCAUCUGUAAAAUAAAUUUUAGCAGUUGGGCCAGGCAGUGGUGGUGCACACCUUUAAUCCCAGCAUUUGGGAGGCAGAGGCAGGCGGAUUUCUGAGUUCCAGGACAGCCUGGUCUACAAAGAGUUCCAGGACAGCCUGGAGAAACCCUGUCUUGAAAAACAAAACAAAAAUUUAGCAGUUGAGUGCCUUAGAUUUAACUGUAGACCAUGUAAAUAUAGUGAUUUGGGUAAGAUUAAUUAUAAAGGGAGAAAAGUUUGCCCAAGUCCUAAAAGUUAAUAUACAACAUGACUAUCUUCAUGUUUGUAUGGUCUUGCAUAUUUAGUGAAAUUUUUGUGGUCACAUUUUUACCAACUGGGAAAAGGUUGCCUGCUACAGGUAAAGUUGGUUUAUGGUUCUUCCCAGUGAUUUUCACAGAACAUUAAUAGUAUACAGUCAUACUUAAUUAUCUGCAGGGGAUUAGUUCCAGACCCCCUACCUUAUGUAACAAAACCUACAAAAGUCUGGCUCAGUGUAGCCGUAUAUAGCCUUGACGUGAGUACAGUAUAAAUGUUAUGUAAAUAGUUGUUAUACUUUAUUGUUUAGGGAAUGAUGACAAGGAAAAGUCUUCUUACUCUGUAAACAUGAUUUUUUUAUUUUUAUCAAUAGUUGAUUGAGUCCAAAAAAAUGGAACACAGAGAUACAAACCCAAGGUUUACCUAGGUUUGAAUCCAUGACUCAGAAAAUUGACUGUAUUUUUUUUUUUUGAGAUUGUUCACUACCAAAAAAUGCCUAGGUUCAGUGUCUUAGUCCAUAUUUCAAUAUUGUGACCCAGAUCACUUCCAUCAUCAGUUCUCAGGAACCUUCUCAUUUACAGAGAUAUUUUCUGGACCACAGAAAAAUGUUAAGUUGAGGUGUGAUGUCACACAUCUAUAAUUCCAGGUACUUAUGAGGCUGAGGGAAAGAGGAUUACAAAUUUGAGGCUAUAAGGCCUGAGAGAUGGCCACUUCUAAGUCCAAGAGCCUGAAUUCAAUCUCUGUGACCCAAUAGUAGAAGGAGAAAGAACUGACUCUAGUUAGUUACCCCUGACUUCCACAUGCCUCCUCUGGCACAUACACCAGAUACAUACACAAUAAACAAACUUUUUUAAGCUUGAAAGAUUACCAUAUUAAAUAUUAAGCUUACUAGAUGUUUUCCUAUUAUAAUGGGGUUUCUUAUGAGCAAAAUGCUGUAACUAUAGCCUUGUAAGCAGUUUUAAAAUUCGAGGUGGUGUUUGAAAUGGUAUUGCUAAAUGAAGAUUGAAAAUACAACCUCCAGUGUUUUUAAUUUUCUCUGUAGAUAUCAGGAAUGAAUGCAGACAGGUUUUUUUAAAAGGCAUCUGUGGAGUGCUGCUGUUUAAUAAAAGAUUUUUUUAAAUUAUGAGAUAGGCUGGAAAUAAGAGACUAUCUUUUGCAAGCUUUGAAAUAUAGCAGAUAAAUUUCAUCCAUGCCAUUUUGUUUAAUUGUUUUAAGAACCCUUUGUGGUUGGUGGUAUUGCCCUUUUAGUGCGUGAAGAUGUGGGCUCAGAAAAGAAAUAAUAAGCUGACAUAUUUGGGGAAAUAGGUUUCUAACUCUGAAACUCAUUUCUGCCCCCUCCCCCCACCUCUUAGACUGAAUUCACACAGCAACGUAAGUCCCUAGUAAUUUAGCUACCAUGUUCAUACAGUAACUAGAAGAGACAUUCAGGAAAUGAUAAAUCUGUAUCAAAAGGAGUUUUUGUUUGUUUGUUUUGCAUCAGUGGCAUUUACUGCAGUAAAAGUGAUAUACAGUAGUUUUACCUUCGACAACCCUUUAUAAAGAGGCUUCAGUUCACUGUGAACUGUCUAGUGGUCUUGCCUCUAGAUCAUAGAUGAAGAUACUGACCUGAGUAGUUGUGACUCUCAGCUAGACAUAAGUGUGGGCAGGUAGGUAUUCCAGUACCUUAAGUCUGAGGUCCUGUUCAGUGUUCAUUCUUUAAUAUGGUGUGGCUUCCAUUCUGUAUCUUUCCUGUAUACUGGUGUCAUGGAGAGAGGGGGUAGGUAGCCAUUAAUAAUACUAUCAAUACAUAAUCAUCUUUUCUACUCUCGUCUCUUAAUGUUCAGAGACCUGGAGAAACUUGAUCUCUUUAGCUCUGCCAUCUUGGAUGCAAAAGUACUAAGUACAUUUGUUUUAAUGAGUCAUAAAAGUCAGUUGUACUGUUUAGAUCUCAUCUAAGUAAUUCCCACAUACACGUGUGUGUGUGUGUGUGUGUGUGUGUGUGUAGGUUUAUACCUGCCACAGCACUGAGUGAAGGUCAGGGGACAACUUGGAGUCAGUUCUCACCAUUCAUGUUGGUCCCAGUUAUCAGACACAGGUCACUGGGCUUGGCCAUAGGUGCCCUUUACCCACUAAACCAUCUUACCAGCCACAUCAUCUAGUUUUAUCCACUGGUAAUUUGUUUGAAACUACAUCUUGGUUUAUAUGUGAUUGAGAUUCAAGUACUCUAAUUAUAGUUAUUCCUUGGCUUCCGAUUGAGAGGACUUGGAUUCAGAUCUCAACUCUGCCAUUAAUCAUUGGGCAAGUCACUUUGAUCACUGUUUCUUAAACCCACAGAAUGCCCUUUUUGCCAUAUUUGUGAGAAUUAGAUAAAAGAAGGCAUCUGUGUUUAUUCUAAUUCUAUAGAAAAGUAUCAGGUAAUCAAAAUGUUAUUUUGAUAUUUGAGCUUGUUGAAAUUUUUUAGUUAGCUUUUACAAGAUUGUAAAGUAAUACUCAAUUU